CAAGAUUGGCGUCUGCAAUUAAGUCUUGCGCAAAUUCGCCGAAAGCCUUAAACGGCGGCACUAAACCGGUUCGCCGGGGCCACCAUUUCGUUCACAGGAAGCAUUCAAAUGGCAAAGAGUAAGUUUGAGCGCAACAAGCCGCACG
RNAcentral lists this small RNA (145 nucleotides) under Rhizobium etli. Its description in RNAcentral is "miscellaneous other RNA". Lineage: Bacteria; Pseudomonadati; Pseudomonadota; Alphaproteobacteria; Hyphomicrobiales; Rhizobiaceae. The record is from RNAcentral.